GUCCUUUUGAGAUUAAUUUAAGGUUUGACCUGCCCACUGAUUUAUUGAAGGGCCGCAGUAUUUUGACUGUGCAAAGGUAGCAUAAUCAUUAGUUUUUUAAUUGAAAGCUUGUAUGAAGGGUUGGACGAGGUAAAUUCUGUCUCUAAUUAAUUUAAUAUAGAAUUUAAUUUUUAAGUUAAAAAGCUUAAAUUAUUUUAAAAGACGAGAAGACCCUAUAGAUCUUUAUAUUUUAUUAAUUAAUUUUAUUUAAGAUUAUUAAAUUUUUUAUUUAAUAAAAUAUUUUAUUGGGGUAAUAGAAAGAUUAAAUUAAUUCUUUUUAAAAUUUCACAUUUAUGAAUGAUUUAGUGAUCCAAUAUUAUUGAUUAUAAGAUUAAGUUACCUUAGGGAUAACAGCGUAAUUUUUUUUGAGAGUUCAUAUCGAUAAAAAAGUUUGCGACCUCGAUGUUGGAUUAAAAAUUAUUUUAGGUGUAGAAGCUUAAAUUUUUGGUCUGUUCGACCAUUAAAUUUUUACAUGAUCUGAGUUCAGACCGGCGUAAGCCAGGUCGGUUUCUAUCUUUAAUAAAGUUUUAUAUUUUAGUACGAAAGGACCAAAUAUAAUAUAUAUUUAUAUUUAAAUUUUUUGAAGGU
RNAcentral lists this ribosomal RNA (627 nucleotides) under Ilybius cinctus. RNAcentral describes it as "partial 16S ribosomal RNA". It matches the Rfam family "Bacterial large subunit ribosomal RNA", at positions 1825 to 2732 of the family's 2925-position model. The record is from RNAcentral. Lineage: Eukaryota; Metazoa; Arthropoda; Insecta; Coleoptera; Dytiscidae.